This 835-nucleotide ribosomal RNA is filed under the name Apiospora tintinnabula. RNAcentral describes it as "eukaryotic LSU rRNA". It matches the Rfam family "Eukaryotic large subunit ribosomal RNA", at positions 74 to 938 of the family's 3401-position model. The record is from RNAcentral. Lineage: Eukaryota; Fungi; Ascomycota; Sordariomycetes; Amphisphaeriales; Apiosporaceae.
AUUGCCCUAGUAACGGCGAGUGAAGCGGGAACAGCUCAAAUUUGAAAUCUGGCCCUCGGGUCCGAGUUGUAAUUUGCAGAGGAUGCUUUUGGCGCGGUGCCUUCCGAGUUCCCUGGAACGGGACGCCUUAGAGGGUGAGAGCCCCGUACGGUUGGCCACCAAGCCUGUGUAAAGCUCCUUCGACGAGUCGAGUAGUUUGGGAAUGCUGCUCAAAACGGGAGGUAUAUUUCUUCUAAAGCUAAAUACUGGCCAGAGACCGAUAGCGCACAAGUAGAGUGAUCGAAAGAUGAAAAGCACUUUGAAAAGAGGGUUAAAUAGCACGUGAAAUUGUUGAAAGGGAAGGGUUUAUGACCAGACUUUUUCUAGGGGGAUCAUCCGGUGUUCUCACCGGUGCACUUCCCCUAGUUGAGGCCAGCAUCGGUUUCUGCCGGGGGAUAAAAGCUUCGGGAAUGUGGCUCCUUCGGGAGUGUUAUAGCCCGUUGUAUAAUACCCUGGCGGGGACCGAGGUUCGCGCAUUCGCAAGGAUGCUGGCGUAAUGGUUAUUAACCACCCGUCUUGAAACACGGACCAAGGAGUCGAACAUUUGUGCGAGUGUUUGGGUGUUAAACCCUCACGCGUAAUGAAAGUGAACGGAGGUGAGAGCCUUUAGGGGUGCAUCAUCGACCGAUCCUGAUGUCUUCGGAUGGAUUUGAGUAGGAGCAUCACUGUUCGGACCCGAAAGAUGGUGAACUAUGCGUGGAUAGGGUGAAGCCAGAGGAAACUCUGGUGGAGGCUCGCAGCGGUUCUGACGUGCAAAUCGAUCGUCAAAUCUGCGCAUGGGGCGAAGACUAAUCGA